RNAcentral lists this ribosomal RNA (218 nucleotides) under uncultured Lactobacillus sp. Its description in RNAcentral is "partial 16S ribosomal RNA". It matches the Rfam family "Bacterial small subunit ribosomal RNA", at positions 144 to 355 of the family's 1533-position model. Lineage: Bacteria; Bacillati; Bacillota; Bacilli; Lactobacillales; Lactobacillaceae. The record is from RNAcentral.
UAACACCUGGAAACAGAUGCUAAUACCGGAUAACAACAGAUGAUGCCUAUCAACUGUUUAAAAGAUGGUUCUGCUAUCACUCUUGGAUGGACCUGCGGUGCAUUAGCUAGUUGGUAAGGUAACGGCCUACCAAGGCGAUGAUGCAUAGCCGAGUUGAGAGACUGAUCGGCCACAUUGGGACUGAGACACGGCCCAAACUCCUACGGGAGGCAGCAGCU